RNAcentral lists this long non-coding RNA (467 nucleotides) under Ursus americanus (American black bear). RNAcentral describes it as "lncRNA (ENSUAMG00000027494.1)". The record is from RNAcentral. Lineage: Eukaryota; Metazoa; Chordata; Mammalia; Carnivora; Ursidae.
AUUUCCUCAGCUGCAAACUGGGGCUCGUAAUAGUAUCCGCCUCCCAGUUCUGAGCAUUCUGCAAGAUGAAUUACGUAGUGGGGCACAGCGCGGUCCACAGAGGUUUCCCGGGGAGGCUCGCCGCUGGGACUCCCGGCUCCCCGCACAGUCUGAGGGCUGCACCCCUGUGUGUGCUUUCAGAGAGGUCCGCCCGGAGAACCGGGGCCCCCGGGUCCCCCAGGGCCGCCGGGAGUGCCUGGAUCUGACGGCAUCGACGGUGACAAGGGGCCCCCCGGGAAAGCUGGCCCUCCGGGACCUAAGGGAGAGCCUGGCAAAGCAGGGCCGGAUGGGCCAGACGGGAAGCCUGGGAUUGACGGUCUAACUGGAGCCAAGGGGGAACCUGGCCCCGUGGGGAUCCCUGGAGUCAAGGGCCAGCCCGGGCUCCCAGGUCCCCCUGGCCUGCCGGUGAGUGUAAUCUGCAAGGGCUU